AUGAUAGAGAAUCUGACGAGUUUUUUAAGAGGAAAUGUACUAAAAAAAACAACGACCAAGGAUAGUUGUUGGAAACCGCCAGAGGAAAAUUAUGUAAAGAUAAAUAUAGACGGAGCCUUCACAAAGGACACAAAGAAGGGAGGAUGGGGUUUCAUUAUCAGAAACUCUAAAGGAGGAGUAGAAGCAGCAGGGGCAGGGAGAUUGUCAAGACUCUCUGAGGCAAUUCAAGCAGAAACAAUUGCCCUGUUAUAUGCCGUGGAGAGAGCAAGUGAGUUGGGAUGCAGGAAUGUAAUCUUCGAAACGGAUGCAUUGGUGCUGAAACAAGCUAUUGACGGAGACGCCUACGAUAAUUCAGUUUUCGGUGCCCUGUUUCGAGAAGCAAAGUUUAAACUCUUGUACUAUUUUCAGUCUGCUUUUAUCAAUUGGUGUCCCAGGUCCUGUAAUGUAGCUGCCCAUAAGCUAGCGUCAUUUGGCGCGAGUUUGGUUGAGCCAGAUAUAUGUAUGUGGUUGUCAGAUGUACCAAACUUUGUAACUGAAGCGGUUGCCAGCGAUUUUGUUGGCCCGUAUGUGUAA
This 573-nucleotide ribosomal RNA is filed under the name Triticum aestivum (bread wheat). RNAcentral's name for it is "partial small subunit ribosomal RNA". The record is from RNAcentral. Lineage: Eukaryota; Viridiplantae; Streptophyta; Magnoliopsida; Poales; Poaceae.